RNAcentral lists this transfer RNA (56 nucleotides) under Ictidomys tridecemlineatus (thirteen-lined ground squirrel). Its description in RNAcentral is "Spermophilus tridecemlineatus (thirteen-lined ground squirrel) tRNA". It matches the Rfam family "tRNA", at positions 8 to 63 of the family's 71-position model. From Rfam's summary of the family: Transfer RNA (tRNA) molecules are approximately 80 nucleotides in length. Lineage: Eukaryota; Metazoa; Chordata; Mammalia; Rodentia; Sciuridae. The record is from Rfam by way of RNAcentral.
UGGCUCAGUGGCAGAGCACAUGUCUAGCACAUAUGAGGCCUGGGUUCAAUUCCCAG